UGGUGGAGUGAUUUGUCUGGUUAAUUCCGUUAACGAACGAGACCUCAGCCUGCUAAAUAGGUAGAUAAACAUUUUUGUUUAUUAUAUCUUCUUAGAGGGACUUUCGGUUUCUAGCCGAAGGAAGUUUGAGGCAAUAACA
Molecule: ribosomal RNA, 139 nt
Filed under: uncultured eukaryote
Lineage: Eukaryota
Description: partial 18S ribosomal RNA
Rfam family: Eukaryotic small subunit ribosomal RNA
Source: RNAcentral